AUUGAACGCUGGCGGCAUGCUUUACACAUGCAAGUCGGACGGCAGCACAGAGAAGCUUGCUGCUUUCGUGGCGAGUGGCGAACGUGUGGGUAAUAUAUCUGCACGUACGGAGUAAUGGGGGAUAACUAAUCGAAAGUUUUGCUACUACCGCAUAUUCGCUGAGGGGGAAAGCAGUGGAGCUUCGGGCCUUGCGUUAUUCCAUCGGCCGAUAUCUGAUUAGCUAGUUGGUGGGGUAAAGGCCUACCAAGGCGACGAUCCGUACCGGGUCUGAGAGGAUGAUCCGCCACACUGGAACUGAGACACGGUCCAGACUCCUACGGGAGGCAGCAGUGGGGAAUUUUGGACAAUGGGCGCAAGCCUGAUCCAGCCAUGCCGCGUGUCUGAAGAAGGCCUUCGGAUUGUAAAGGACUUUUGGCAGGGAGGAAGAGGAGGUAGCUAAUAUCAAGAGCUGAUGACGUUACCUGAAGAAUAAGCACCGGCUAACUUCGUG
RNAcentral lists this ribosomal RNA (490 nucleotides) under uncultured bacterium. RNAcentral's name for it is "partial 16S ribosomal RNA". It matches the Rfam family "Bacterial small subunit ribosomal RNA", at positions 30 to 507 of the family's 1533-position model. The record is from RNAcentral.